RNAcentral lists this transfer RNA (71 nucleotides) under Camelus bactrianus (Bactrian camel). It matches the Rfam family "tRNA". From Rfam's summary of the family: Transfer RNA (tRNA) molecules are approximately 80 nucleotides in length. Their secondary structure includes four short double-helical elements and three loops (D, anti-codon, and T loops). RNAcentral also lists the same sequence under 2 other names. The record is from Rfam by way of RNAcentral. Lineage: Eukaryota; Metazoa; Chordata; Mammalia; Artiodactyla; Camelidae.
GAGGGUAUAGUAAGUGGUAGAGCAUGUGCUUAGCAUGCAAAAGGUCCUGGGUUCAAUCCCCAGUACCUCCA